This 201-nucleotide long non-coding RNA is filed under the name Lathyrus oleraceus (garden pea). RNAcentral describes it as "Pisum sativum (pea) long non-coding RNA (PSAT_LNC024844)". Lineage: Eukaryota; Viridiplantae; Streptophyta; Magnoliopsida; Fabales; Fabaceae. The record is from RNAcentral.
AGAAAGUGAAAGCUAUUUAUUUAUUUUGAAUAUAUUGGUAAAAAGAAUUAAAAUAAAAGAAUUUAAAAUGAAUAAAAGUCGGGCGCCAAAAUGUUCGAAAAAUUAAAAUGACUGCACCAUAAUGACUAGUGCGAAAUAAAGUUCUCGAAAAGAUACAAGUUUUGAUCAAAUUUUGAAAUAAAAAAGUCUUGUUAAAAUGCC